GGUCCCGUGUGGCUGUUGGUAGAGCAUGGUGUUUGCAACGCCAGGGUUGUGGGUUCGAUUCCCACGGGGGACCA
Salmo salar (Atlantic salmon) is the source of this 74-nucleotide non-coding RNA. The record is from Rfam. Lineage: Eukaryota; Metazoa; Chordata; Actinopteri; Salmoniformes; Salmonidae.